Molecule: long non-coding RNA, 1820 nt
Filed under: Triticum aestivum (bread wheat)
Lineage: Eukaryota; Viridiplantae; Streptophyta; Magnoliopsida; Poales; Poaceae
Description: long non-coding RNA (TAES_LNC014273)
Source: RNAcentral
UCCCACGUGUCGGAGCACGACUUAGAGGCAUAACCGCAUAGUAGGCAUGUCGCAAGAGGGGUAAUCUUUACACAUCCCAUGUACUAAAUAAGAAAGGGAUAAAGAGUUGGCUUACAAUCGCCACUUCACACAAUACAUAAAUAAAGCAUUAAAUCAACCAGAAUACAAUCAAUGUCCGACUACGGAACCAAAUAAAGAAAGACAACCCCUAAUGCUAGAUCCCCGAUCGCCCCGACUGGGCUCCACUACUGAUCAACUGGAAAUGAAACAACACAACGAACAUGAUCUUCAUCGAGCUCCCAUCUGAGCUGGGUUGCGUCACCUGUACUGGUAUCAUCGGCACCUGCAACUGUUUGGAAGUAUCGGUGAGCCACGAGGACUCAACAAUCUCACACCCGCGAGAUCAAGACUAUUUAAGCUUAAAGGUAGGACAGGGUAGUGAGGUGGAGCUGCAGCAAGCACUAGCAUAUAUGGUGGCUAACUUACGCAAAUGAGAGCGAGAAGAGAAGCAAAGCACGGUCGUGAACUAGAAGUGAUCAAGAAGUGAUCCUGAAGCUACUUACGCACAACCAUAACACAAGAACCGUGUUCACUUCCCGGACUCCAUCGAGAAGAGACCAUCACGGCUACACACGCGGUUGAUGCAUUUUAAUUAAGUCAAGUGUCAAGUUCUCUACAACCGGACAUUAACAAAUUCCCACCUGCCACAUAACCGCGGGCACGGCUCUCGAAAGUUUAUACCCUGCAGGGGUGUCCCAACUUAGCCCAUCACAAGCUCUCACGGUCAACGAAGGAUAUUCCUUCUCCCGGGAAGACCCGACCAGUCUCGGAAUCCCGGUUACAAGACAUUUCGACAAUGGUAAAACAAGACCAGCAAGACCACCCGACUGUGCCGACAAAUCCCGAUAGGAGCUGCACAUAUCUCGUUCUCAGGGCACACCGGAUGAGACAUCCUACGAGUAAAACCAAGCCUCAAGUUUCCCCGAGGUGGCCCCGCAGUCUACUCGGUUCGAACCAGCACUCAGAGGAGCACUGGCCCGGGGGGUUAAAAUAAAGAUGACCCUUGAGUCUGCAGAACCCAAGGGGAAAAGGCUUAGGUGGCAAAUGUUAAAACCAAGGUUGGGCCUUGCUGGAGGAGUUUUAUUCAAAGCGAACUGUCAAGGGGGUCCCAUAAAUCACCCAACCGCGUAAGGAACGCAAAAUCAAGGAACAUAACACCGGUAUGACGGAAACUAGGGCGACAAGAGUGGAAUAAAACACCAGGCAUAAGGCCGAGCCUUCCACCCUUUACCAAGUAUAUAGAUGCAUUAAUUAAAUAAGAGAUAUUGUGAUAUCCCAAAAUAUCCAUGUUCCAACAUGGAACCAACUCAUCUUCACUUGCAACUAGCAACGCUAUAAAAGGGGCUGAGUAAAAGCGAUAACUUAGCCAAACAACGGUUUGCUAGGAAAGGAUGGUUAGAGGCUUGACAUGGCAAUAUGGGAGGCAUGAUAUAGCAAGUGGUAGGUAUCGCGGCAUAGGAAAAGAGCGAGCAACUAGCAAGCAAAGAUAGAAGUGAUUUCGAGGGUAUGGUCAUCUUGCCUGAGAUCCCGCAAGGAAGAAGAAUGAGUCCAUGAAGAAGACAAACGGACGUAGUCGAACGAAUCCUCACAACUCCGGAACGAAACCGAAGCUAACGAGAGAAGCAACCCGGAAACAAACAAACAACAUGGUAAACCAACAAGCACAAACAUGGCAUGAUGCACAACCAAGUAUGAUGCAUGUCCGGUUUAAAUAGCAUGGCAUGGCAAUAUGCACAAACAAAACUACAAGUUAAAUGGAG